Molecule: ribosomal RNA, 347 nt
Filed under: uncultured eukaryote
Lineage: Eukaryota
Description: SSU rRNA
Rfam family: Eukaryotic small subunit ribosomal RNA
Source: RNAcentral
CAAUAGCGUAUAUUAAAGUUGUUGCGGUUAAAAGCUCGUAGUUGGAUUUCUGCCGAGGACGACCGGUCCGCCCUCUGGGUGAGUAUCUGGCUCGGCCUGGGCAUCUUCUUGGAGAACGUAACUGCACUUGACUGUGUGGUGCGGUAUCCAGGACUUUUACUUUGAGGAAAUUAGAGUGUUUCAAGCAGGCACACGCCUUGAAUACAUUAGCAUGGAAUAAUAAUAUAGGACCUCGGUUCUAUUUUGUUGGUUUCUAGUACUGAAGUAAUGAUUGAUAGGGAUAGUUGGGGGUGCUAGUAUUGACCGGCCAGAGGUGAAAUUCUUGGAUUUCCGAAAGACGAACUACC